CUCGUAGGCGGUUUGUCGCGUCGUCUGCGAAAUUCUGCAACUCAAUUGCAGGCGUGCAGGCGAUACGGGCAGACUUGAGUACUACAGGGGAGACUGGAAUUCCUGGUGUAGCGGUGAAAUGCGCAGAUAUCAGGAGGAACACCGGUGGCGAAGGCGGGUCUCUGGGUAGUAACUGACGCUGAGGAGCGAAAGCGUGGGAGCGAACA
RNAcentral lists this ribosomal RNA (206 nucleotides) under uncultured bacterium. RNAcentral describes it as "partial 16S ribosomal RNA". It matches the Rfam family "Bacterial small subunit ribosomal RNA", at positions 568 to 774 of the family's 1533-position model. The record is from RNAcentral.